This 363-nucleotide ribosomal RNA is filed under the name Ramalina americana. RNAcentral's name for it is "SSU rRNA". The record is from RNAcentral. Lineage: Eukaryota; Fungi; Ascomycota; Lecanoromycetes; Lecanorales; Ramalinaceae.
CUAACGGCUGAACCAGCAACUUGGAGGAAUGUAUAGCUACGGCUAAUUGUGUAUAACUACACGAUAUCGACUCUGUCGAAUAAAAUUCUGGGUAAAUUAUGAUGAUGACAUUUUUUACCCAUGUGUCUUGACCAAAUUGUGUGCCAGCAGUCGCGGUAAUACAUAGAAGACUAGUGUUAUUCAUCUUUAAUAGGUUUAAAGGGUACCUAGACGGUAGAUCAAGCCCUAGACGGGACUAAUUUGCUAGAGUUACUUAUGAGGGGGCUUUAAAGUACUAAUGGUGUAGAGAUAAAAUUUUGUAAUACCAUUUUUCGUAAAGAAAAGUUAUGGCACUGGUAAAGGUGAAAGCAUCCCCCUAUGUGA